Callithrix jacchus (white-tufted-ear marmoset) is the source of this 3367-nucleotide long non-coding RNA. The record is from Ensembl. Lineage: Eukaryota; Metazoa; Chordata; Mammalia; Primates; Cebidae.
AAGUGGGUCUCUCCCAGGAAUCAGCAGCAUCCUUGUGUUUUUCAAGGUAUUCAGACAGACCUUGCCAACACCUGGGCAGCUUUAGAAAGCUCUGUCCUUCUCAGGUAGGAUUCAUGUUCACAUUUCCAGAUUAAAUCACCAGUGCCACUGGAACUUGAGAAUGAAGAGAGAUCAUUCUUAGCCUGAACAAAAGGGACUUCAUGCCUGACUUGUUCCCCAGGGUGAACAAACACAGCCAUGUUUACCCUCACCAGGGCACAUUUGCAAGCUGAAAAAGACUGGGCAUAUUCAUCCAUUUCCUAUUUAGAGUAAUAGGGAGCUCAGCUGGGAUGGUUACUAGGUUCACAAAGAAAGAGGCAAAAUUUUGGCAAGUCAUUGGGAGACCUAGCAACAAAAUUCGCUUCCCCCCCACUCCUUUCCCAUCCAUUUGAAAUGCAGGUUGCCUCAAAGCAGCAUGAAAUCCCUGGGAACUUCUUGUGCCCUUUCAACAAAUCAGCUCGAUGAAGGGAGAUGACUCAGUCUCCUCUGCCCCUGAAAGCCAGAGCCAACUCUGGCUACCAGCACUCUUGGCUUCACAAAAGAACAAUUUACCCUGGUUCCCUCCCAGACUCCAGUCAGUCUCCCUGAAACUUCAAGUGGCAUCAAAGAGGCAUUUCAUUUACAUGACCUUCCUCAGGAGCUGGGUGAGAAGCCGCAACACAUAACAGGCAUCCGAGUCUACCGGAGUUGCAUGUUUGACUUGCUAGGCUGAAAGCAUCUUGAAGGUAAAAAGAGUAUCUUACACAGCUCUGUACUCUCAGUGUCUAGCCCAGAGCAAGAGACAAAAUAGAAGCUAAUAUAUCUGCUGAAUUAAUAAUGAAUGAAGGAGCAGCAACGACAAAGGGAAGAAAUGGAAGGGAGAGAUUAGCAGGUAAUGGCAAGAAGGGAUUGAAAAGCAGACCUCUGUCUUUACCUUGAGAAUACAAAGCACAAUCUUAUACAACAAUUACAUUGCUUUGGAUUCCAGUGCCCUCCUAUGCGGAGCAUCUGGUUAGGUAUUUGUUGUUCUGAGAGAUUCAAGGUAAGGAAUGAAUUAGGUAGAAUAGAUUGUUCAGUUAGGAGUAUAAAUGACUAGAAGUGAGAGGUAGCAUCAUGGAUGGGCAUUGUCCCAGCCAUAAAGUGAAUAGAGCACUAUGGUGGAUUCUCCCACUCUACCUGCUAGAACUUAUUCCCCACUCUCCCUUAAUGUUUUCCUUCUCAUCUGGUUGAAUCUACAUUUUACUGACUCUAUAAAAAUAUCUUAUUAAUUUCUACUUUACCACCUUUUCUCAGUUUCCCCUUUUCUGUUGUUUCUUCUCCCCCUUCUCACAUAUAAAAAUAUGGUCCUUUAAAGAUCAAUUAUAUUUUUCUGCCUUCAGACUCUUUUAAGACGUGCAAAUAAAUCUAAGCCUGUCAUCUUUGGAACACCUACAAUAUCGCCACCUACACUAUACAAUCGAUAGAUGACAUAACUGCGAAGAACACUGUAUUGCCUACUGCUUUAUCCACUCAGUUUGUCUUCCAACCAGACUAUAAAACUCUUUCAGUUCAGGUAUUACACUUUGGACUUUUUGUAAUCCUUUAAAGUACUGGCCUUAUAAGAUGCCAGUUACUUCAUAAAUAACUGAUUGAGAAAAAUGGGUUACUAGAUAACUUAUAUAUAUGUAACAUCAUCCUCAGUCAGCUGAUUAUCCUACCGAAAUCUUGCUUUUGGUGCAUCUGAUUUUAUAAUUCUAUAUGGGUAUACGUAUGUAAGCAUAAAUAUGGUUAUAGUUAUAGGUGUAAAUAUAGAGAAGUAAAAAGAGCUCUCUCACUGUUUUAUUGGACAUUUCAUAUUCAAGUAGUUCUUGUACUUGCAAGCUUCUUUUCUCUUAUUUCUUUCUAAGAGGGGAUGAUAAAUAGUUGUUUACUGCACUUUGAAUAAUGGACUGUCACGAAUGCUACUUCUGGUUUCCUCCUUUCUUGGCUAAACAACCUUAGCCCCUUUAGACAUUUCAAUGCCAUGAACAGAUGCUCAAUAAUAUUACUAGGUGGUUUGCCAUAAUUUAUAGUGCUUAUUUAUGGAAGCUGAUGAAAAUAGAAGCCUUAUGUAUUUUUAAACUUUUCUUUCACAUAUGGCAUACUUUACAGAGAGUGAGGAUUUAGAUGAAUGCAUGGAUGAAUGCAGCUAAUAUUAUUAUUUUGGUCUCAUCUAAAAGGGGGGAAACAUAGGAAACAUUAGAAUGAAAGCUAAAAUGCAAAAGAUGCUAUUUUACUAUUAACUCAGACUUUUCUUAUGCCAGAUGGUGUUGGAGGAAAGCUUUUGAUUUUUUGAUGAUAGGCAUCUUCUUUGAAUUUUGCUAGCCAGACACAUUUCCUCUCUUCUCAGCAUGCAGAGACAGAGCAGCCAUCUUUUAUAUACCUCCUAGAUACAGUAACUGGUUUGGCAUUUCCCAGUGACUGUGGAUCUGGCAAUUGCUCAGAAUUUCAUUAGCGCUCCAGUCAUGUGUAGAAGAUGCUCCCAGAGAUAAGCAUGAGAUCUUCAUCAGUAGAGUUAUUUUAGGCUCAGCUUUACUAAAAUGGCAUCAAAUUCUAAUAGAACCUACCAGACUUAAUUGAAGGUGCUAUAGUGAACUAACAACAAUGUACUGUGAUAUCCAAAAUACCAACACAAUACUACAAGUAAUCUCAAAUGUGUGUGUUUGUGUGUGUGUGCACGUGAUGUAUACGGUAGAGUUGAUGUAUAUGGUAGUGGGUUGUUUUUGUACCAUGCCAGAUAGGUCUUGAUAUUGUCCCUCAAGAAAGAUAUAAGAUUAUGAAAGGGAAGGAUAACUGAAUAAGCAAAGGAGAAAGCCGUUGCCAUGUUAUAAAACUAGAUCUUGAGAUGGAAGGAAAUUGAGAGGUCAGUUUAACACAACUUCUUACUUGAUGGGGAAUGCCAUUUCCAUUGUCAUCAGUAAAUAUCAACUAUCCUUGGAAGUCUAUAUUAAAAGAUUAUUAUUUUGUAAACAUAAAGACAGAAAGAAGAAGAAUUGAAACUAUUACUUUUCAAUUAAUAGUUGGGAAGACUAAAGAUAGAGUAAGCAUGGAUUUAGUCACCUAUUAACAGAAUAUCAGACUUUAAGGCACUUCUUGAAGUUGAGAGAUAGGUUUGUGCAUGUGGCAUUUAGCUCAGCAGGACAGAAUGGAAAUUACACUUCUAGUCCUCAGUGCUGGAUUCUAGCACAGGCUCCAUAUAGCUAGCUGUGUAGCACUAAGGUAUACACAUGGCUUCUUACCUGUUAAAUGAACAAGUAGAAUUAAAUGAUUCCUAAGUUCUUUUUCAGCAAGAAAUUAUGUUAUCCUAAGGAAAAUAUUUACUUCUAACAGU